Molecule: long non-coding RNA, 1243 nt
Filed under: Parus major (Great Tit)
Lineage: Eukaryota; Metazoa; Chordata; Aves; Passeriformes; Paridae
Description: lncRNA (ENSPMJG00000008994.1)
Source: RNAcentral
CAGGGUCUGAAAAAGGAGUAUUUCACUGGGUCUUUGUCCUUGCAGCCAUGACCUCAGCACUAGAUGAUUUGCUUACAAUAUCUCUUGUGGGGAUUAAUCUGCAAAGAGACCUACCUAUGUGUCUCACAGAUCACUUACCCGAGACUGAGAGCUCUCACUUGAGCUGGAGAUUACUUACUUAAGAUUACAUGUACUCACAAAACACAUGUCUCUUCAGUUUAACUGGAUGAAGACAGUCUGUACAUGUUUUAAUGUAUUUUAUUGUGAGUGAGCAGAUAUAGACAUAAUUCAACAUAUUACUCAGAUAGUAUCUGCAUUUAUUUAAGGAACUUAAAGCUGAAUCAUAUAAUAGCCACAUUUAUAACAAAAAUAAAGCAAUAAACCAAUGGGUUCAAAUGAAUAUGUCUUCAAAUUAUUGCUACUGAUAAAGCCCAGCACGGCCAGGGGAUUGUCCCGCCCUGCUCUGCUCUGGGAAGGCCUCACCUCCAGUGCUGGGAGGAGUUUUGGGUGCCACAGUGUAAGAAAGAUAUAAAGCUGUUAGAGAGUGUCCAGAGCAGGCCAUGGGGAUGGUGAAGGCUCUGCAGGAAAAGCCGUGUGAGGAGCUGGGGAGGUCGCUUGGCCGUUCUGGCUGCAGGAGAGGAGGCUGAUGGAGGCCUGCUCGCGGCCUGGCACGUCCUCGUGAGGGGAAGAGCAGAGGCAGGUACCCAUCUCUUCACUCCUGACCUGUGAGACGGCUCAGAAACAGCAUGGAGCUGAGCUGGGGCUGGUUCAGCCUGGAUAUCGAGGAAAAGUUCUUCACCCAGAGGGUGUUUGUGCACUGGAACAGGCUCCCCAGGGAGGUGAUCACAGCACCAAGCCUGACACAGUUCAAUAAAUGUUUGGACAAUGCUGUCAGGCAAUGGUGGGAUUUUCUUGGAGUGUCCUGUGCAGGGCCAGCAUUUGGACUCAGUGAUCCUGAUGGGUCUCUUCAAAUCCAGCAUAAUUCAAACCAGUGUCUCAGAGAAAGUGUAACAAGGAAGAUUCAAACAAGAACAAAAGUGGGAUUUUUAACAGCAGAAGCAUUCAGUCACUGCAGCAAUAUAUCCGGGCAGAUGGCUAGAAAGAUAUUUAGGCAUGAAAAGGCAAAAAAGAGAUGGAAUUCAGAAAAAAGCCACCUUUUCUCCUGGUUUGUGUAUCAGGCUUGAUAUUUAAGCCUUUUCUGUCAAGAGGAACCUGCUAGAAAAUAAACUUCUAGAGGAAAUCA